GAAAUGCGAUACGUAAUGUGAAUUGCAGAAUUCAGUGAAUCAUCGAAUCUUUGAACGCACCUUGCACUCUUUGGUAUUCCGAAGAGUAUGUCUGUUUGAGUGUCAUGAAACUCUCAACCCCCUUAUUUUGUAAUGAUAUAAGUGUGGGCUUGGUUCAUGGUUGUUGAAGGCUUAACAGUCUUCUCAACUGAAAUACACGAGCUACCUAUUUUAUACUAGACGGUUUGACUCGGCGUAAUAACUAUUUCGCUGAGGACGUCCUUUUAUAAUAGUAAAUGGUGCUUCUAAUUUAACAUCAAUUUAAGAUUUAGACCUCAAAUCAGUCAGGACUACCCGCUGAACUUAA
Molecule: unclassified non-coding RNA, 346 nt
Filed under: uncultured Cystobasidiomycetes
Lineage: Eukaryota; Fungi; Basidiomycota; Cystobasidiomycetes
Description: sequence contains ITS1
Rfam family: 5.8S ribosomal RNA (bases 1-105)
Source: RNAcentral